AUGAACGCUGGCGGCGUGCCUAAUACAUGCCAGUCGCGCGAACAGACGAGGAGCUUGCUCCUCUGACGUUAGCGGCGGACGGGUGAGUAACACGUGGAUAACCUACCUAUAAGACUGGGAUAACUUCGGGAAACCGGAGCUAAUACCGGAUAAUAUAUUUAACCGCAUGGUUCAAUAGUGAAAGACGGUUUUGCUGUCACUUAUAGAUGGAUCCGCGCCGCAUUAGCUAGUUGGUAAGGUAACGGCUUACCAAGGCAACGAUGCGUAGCCGACCUGAGAGGGUGAUCGGCCACACUGGAACUGAGACACGGUCCAGACUCCUACGGGAGGCAGCAGUAGGGAAUCUUCCGCAAUGGGCGAAAGCCUGACGGAGCAACGCCGCGUGAGUGAUGAAGGUCUUCGGAUCGUAAAACUCUGUUAUUAGGGAAGAACAAAUGUGUAAGUAACUAUGCACGUCUUGACGGUACCUAAUCAGAAAGCCACGGCUAACUACGUG
RNAcentral lists this ribosomal RNA (496 nucleotides) under uncultured bacterium. Its description in RNAcentral is "partial 16S ribosomal RNA". It matches the Rfam family "Bacterial small subunit ribosomal RNA", at positions 29 to 507 of the family's 1533-position model. The record is from RNAcentral.